This 591-nucleotide small RNA is filed under the name Histoplasma capsulatum. Its description in RNAcentral is "hypothetical RNA". RNAcentral also lists the same sequence under 1 other name. The record is from RNAcentral. Lineage: Eukaryota; Fungi; Ascomycota; Eurotiomycetes; Onygenales; Ajellomycetaceae.
GCUUUCUCGAUUGGGCCCCUCGUAUACCUGUCCCAAGUUAGGGUUUCCCGAUACAAUAAAUGGGCGCUACGAGGCGUUUUUGUUAUCGGUUUGGCGGCCUCUGCAUGUGCAAUAGCAAAAGCUACCGAGUUGCCCGCAAUUCUAAACACUAAGGAUCCGACAUAUGCAGCCGUGAAUUUGACAAUCUGGGUGAAAGCCGAGUUUAAUGCUGGUCUUUUCGCCGCAUCACUACCGCCUCUGAAAUCAACGUUCGAGAGAGUACUGAGGAAGUUCGGUGUCAUGAGUGGCCUCUCGACACCAUCUAAUACACGUUCAUAUGGAAACGGAGCAUAUUCUGGAAGAAAGAGGUACGGGGACCAAAGCUCUCGCGGAAGACGCCAGACCUCACUAGCCUAUGGCUUUGGAGAUGAUGACGCCGAGGAGAGGACAGCAUAUGCUAUGAAAGAUGUUAGCCGAUCAUCGCCAACCAACACUGGAAGCAUGGAUGAAGACCAAAAGCAGAUCUUGCCUGCAGAUGGGAGUGACGGCUAUAUAACAAGAACGACUGAAUACUCAGUGAGCCGUGCGACUUUGGCCUCGCGUAAUGAUGCG